RNAcentral lists this ribosomal RNA (253 nucleotides) under uncultured bacterium. Its description in RNAcentral is "partial 16S ribosomal RNA". It matches the Rfam family "Bacterial small subunit ribosomal RNA", at positions 524 to 776 of the family's 1533-position model. The record is from RNAcentral.
UACGUAGGGGGCAAGCGUUGUCCGGAAUCAUUGGGCGUAAAGAGCGCGUAGGCGGUCCGAUAAGUCGGCUGUGAAAGUCCAGGGCUCAACCCUGGGAUGCGGGUGGAUACUGCCGGGCUCGAGUCCGGAAGAGGCGAGUGGAAUUCCCGGUGUAGCGGUGAAAUGCGCAGAUAUCGGGAGGAACACCAAUGGCGAAGGCAGCUCGCUGGGACGUGACUGACGCUGAGACGCGAAAGCGUGGGGAGCAAACAGG